RNAcentral lists this ribosomal RNA (255 nucleotides) under Staphylococcus epidermidis. RNAcentral describes it as "partial 16S ribosomal RNA". It matches the Rfam family "Bacterial small subunit ribosomal RNA", at positions 1118 to 1374 of the family's 1533-position model. Lineage: Bacteria; Bacillati; Bacillota; Bacilli; Caryophanales; Staphylococcaceae. The record is from RNAcentral.
CCAUCAUUAAGUUGGGCACUCUAAGUUGACUGCCGGUGACAAACCGGAGGAAGGUGGGGAUGACGUCAAAUCAUCAUGCCCCUUAUGAUUUGGGCUACACACGUGCUACAAUGGACAAUACAAAGGGCAGCGAAACCGCGAGGUCAAGCAAAUCCCAUAAAGUUGUUCUCAGUUCGGAUUGUAGUCUGCAACUCGACUAUAUGAAGCUGGAAUCGCUAGUAAUCGUAGAUCAGCAUGCUACGGUGAAUACGUUCC